CUCUAUCAGAUAUUUCAGAUAUUAUGUAAUUUUCAAGAAUAAUGCUGCAAAUAAACAUAAAAAUAUAUUUCAUGCUGAUUUAAUACAAAUCAAAUAUUUUCAAAUAUUCACAUAUAAUAUGAUCAUAAAUCCGAUUCGAUUCAAAACACUCGUAACUCAACAGCCUUGACUAUGACCAACGUUUAACCCCCAUUGGCGGGGUCCACAGAAUACCAGCGCACAACCCCCACUGGCAAGGUCCACAAAUACCAGCGCACAACCCUCACUGGCAGGGUCCACAAACACCAGCGCACAACCUCCACUGGCAGGGUCCACUGAGUACCAACGUAUAAUCCCCAUUGGCGGGGCCCACUGAUGUUACUUACUGGGCUGUCUAGCUCAUUACCUUUCUUUCUAUUUUUCAGAUUCAGAUAAUUAAUUUCGAGCGUGGGAAGAAAUAUUGGGACAGAGCUUUUAGAGGCGAGAUU
RNAcentral lists this long non-coding RNA (467 nucleotides) under Elaeis guineensis (African oil palm). RNAcentral's name for it is "long non-coding RNA (EGUI_LNC026205)". The record is from RNAcentral. Lineage: Eukaryota; Viridiplantae; Streptophyta; Magnoliopsida; Arecales; Arecaceae.